AACAAGAUCCGGGCCUGUGGGGAGCGCCUCAGCCUGGGCCUCAGCAGAGCCCAGCCGGUUCAGAGCAAACCGCAGAAGGCCCCCACCCUAUCCUGCCCGCCCGCCCUGCCCGGCUGUGUCUCUGCCCAGGCCUCCGCCCCCGCCGCGGACCCUCCGCGGUACACCUUUGCACCCAGCGUCUCCCUCAACAAGACGGCCCGGCCCUUUGGGGCGCCCCCGCCCGCUGACAGCGCCCCGCAGCAGAAUGGGUGCAGACCCCUGACAAGUCAGUGAGCCCCCUCUGCCUGUGCCUUUCUUCUUCCUUUUGGCACUCUGGGUGGCGGCCCCUCCCCACCCUGGCUGCCCUCCUCUCCACUUCGCCCUCCUGUCCUCUCACCUACCCGCCCAGCAGGGCUCCUGGCCUCACCCUUACCCAUUCCCUCCCAUCACUGUAACCCAAACCCACAUGCACCAAAUCCUGGGAGGGGCUGCCCCCACCGCCCACCCCCAGUGUGGGGUUCUGAGCCACACCCUCCCCACAGACAGCCGCUCCGACCGCUGGUCCCAGACGCCAGCAAGCAGCGGCUGAUGGAGAACACGGAGGACUGGCGGCCGCG
Molecule: small RNA, 596 nt
Filed under: Pongo abelii (Sumatran orangutan)
Lineage: Eukaryota; Metazoa; Chordata; Mammalia; Primates; Hominidae
Description: retained intron
Source: RNAcentral